UGCGGGGUCGUCUAAUGGUAGGACAGCGGCCUUUGGAGCCGUUAAUCCUGGUUCGAGUCCAGGCCCCGCAGC
This 72-nucleotide transfer RNA is filed under the name bacterium HR34. RNAcentral's name for it is "tRNA-Gln". It matches the Rfam family "tRNA". From Rfam's summary of the family: Transfer RNA (tRNA) molecules are approximately 80 nucleotides in length. Their secondary structure includes four short double-helical elements and three loops (D, anti-codon, and T loops). The record is from RNAcentral.